UACGUAGGGCGCAAGCGUUGUCCGGAUUUAUUGGGCGUAAAGAGCUCGUAGGCGGUUUGUCGCGUCGGAUGUGAAAACCCGGAACUCAACUCCGGGCCUGCAUUCGAUACGGGCAGACUUGAGUACUGCAGGGGAGACUGGAAUUCCUAGUGUAGCGGUGGAAUGCGCAGAUAUCAGGAGGAACACCGGUGGCGAAGGCGGAUCUCUGGGCCUGUCCUGACGCUGAGGUGCGAAAGCUAGGGGAGCGAACAGG
This 253-nucleotide ribosomal RNA is filed under the name uncultured bacterium. Its description in RNAcentral is "partial 16S ribosomal RNA". It matches the Rfam family "Bacterial small subunit ribosomal RNA", at positions 524 to 776 of the family's 1533-position model. The record is from RNAcentral.